This 468-nucleotide ribosomal RNA is filed under the name uncultured bacterium. RNAcentral's name for it is "partial 16S ribosomal RNA". It matches the Rfam family "Bacterial small subunit ribosomal RNA", at positions 28 to 507 of the family's 1533-position model. The record is from RNAcentral.
GACGAACGCUGGCGGCGUGCUUAACACAUGCAAGUCGAACGGAAAGGCCCUGCUUGUGUGGGGUGCUCGAGGGGCGAACGGGUGAGUAACACGGGAGUAACCUGCCCAGGACGGGGGGAUAACUGCAGGAAAGUGGGGCUAAUACAGGAUAGGAGCGCGUGCUGCAUGGGGGGGGUUGGAAAGUAUGGGCGGUGGGGGAUGGACUCGCGGCUUAUCAGCUUGUUGGGGGGGUAGUGGCUUACCAAGGGAUUGACGGGUAGUCGGCCUGGGAGGGUGACCGGCCACAUUGGGACUGAGAGACGGCCCAGACUCCUACGGGAGGCAGCAGUGGAGAAUAUUGCACAGUGGUCGGAAGCCUGAUGCAGCAACGCCGCGUGCGGGAUGCCGGCCUUCGGGUUGUAAACCGCUUUCGCCUGUGACCAAGCGUGAUUGACGGUAAUGGGUAAAGAAGCACCGGCUAACUUCGUG